This is a long non-coding RNA of Zophobas morio, 591 nucleotides long. RefSeq lists it as uncharacterized. The record is from RefSeq and is a predicted model, not a curated record. Lineage: Eukaryota; Metazoa; Arthropoda; Insecta; Coleoptera; Tenebrionidae. The transcript has 3 exons.
CUUCUGACAAAAAUUUUACUACUCGAAAUGCAACUCGUCUUUUUGGUGGUUCUUUUGGUGCUUAUGUCUUAAUUUAAGUGCGAAAAAAAAUCACACUUUGAACAACACUGCAGUGGCGAUGCACAUAAAAGUAACGAGAAUAAAUCCAGUAAACAGACUUUAUUAAACAUUAGUUCCGACAAUGAUUUUAUGAAAUUUUGCACCGAUUUAUGUAGGGCAUUUACCGCAGCAAAUAUUCCAUGGAAUAAAGUUAGUUGUCCUGAGUUUAAAAAUUGUAUGCAUAAAUAUACAGGAAGGCAUUUACCCUCAGAAAGCACUCUGAGAAAAAAAUAUUUACCAAGAGAUUACGAUAUGGUAAUUAAACAAAUUAGAAAUUCUAUUGGCAAUAAUAAUAGGUAUAUAGAUUAGCGUCGAUGAGACGACGGACAGAUUAGGAAGAUACAUAGCCCAUUUAGUAAUUGGAAAGUUAUCUUCUGUAGAAACUGGCCGUCCAUUUCUACUAGCUUUGAAGCAACUUGAUAAUACGAAUAGCAACACAAUUUCGAGAUUUACAAACGAAUCAUUGGGUGUGCUAUUGAUAAUUUUAAGCAG